ACGAACGCUGGCGGCGUGCUUCACACAUGCAAGUCGAACGAAAAGAGGGAAAGAGCUUGCUCUUUCCGGAAUUGAGUGGCAAACGGGUGAGUAACACGUAAACAACCUGCCUUCAGGAUGGGGACAACAGACGGAAACGACUGCUAAUACCGAAUAAGUUCCAAGAGCCGCAUGGCCCAUGGAAGAAAAGGUGGCCUCUACCUGUAAGCUAUCGCCUGAAGAGGGGUUUGCGUCUGAUUAGCUGGUUGGAGGGGUAACGGCCCACCAAGGCGACGAUCAGUAGCCGGUCGGAGAGGAUGAACGGCCACACUGGAACUGAGACACGGUCCAGACUCCUACGGGAGGAAGCAGUGGGGAAUCUUCCGCAAGGGGCGAAAGCCUGACGGAGCAACGCCGCGUGAGUGAUGACGGCCUUCGGGUUGUAAAACUCUGUGAUCCGGGACGAAAAGGCAGAGUGCGAAGAACAAACUGCAUUGACGGUACCGGAAAAGCAAGCCACGGCUAACUACGUG
RNAcentral lists this ribosomal RNA (512 nucleotides) under uncultured bacterium. RNAcentral's name for it is "partial 16S ribosomal RNA". It matches the Rfam family "Bacterial small subunit ribosomal RNA", at positions 30 to 507 of the family's 1533-position model. The record is from RNAcentral.